Molecule: ribosomal RNA, 253 nt
Filed under: uncultured Rickettsia sp.
Lineage: Bacteria; Pseudomonadati; Pseudomonadota; Alphaproteobacteria; Rickettsiales; Rickettsiaceae
Description: partial 16S ribosomal RNA
Rfam family: Bacterial small subunit ribosomal RNA
Source: RNAcentral
GACGGAGGGGGCUAGCGUUGUUCGGAAUUACUGGGCGUAAAGAGUGCGUAGGCGGUUUAGUAAGUUGGAAGUGAAAGCCCGGGGCUUAACCUCAGAAUUGCUUUCAAAACUACUAAUCUAGAGUGUAGUAGGGGGUGAUGGAAUUCCUAGUGUAGAGGUGAAAUUCUUAGAUAUUAGGAGGAACACCGGUGGCGAAGGCGGUCAUCUGGGCUACAACUGACGCUGAUGCACGAAAGCGUGGGGAGCAAACAGG